AAUAAGUGCAGUCGUGGAUAUCCGUGCCCAACGUUUGACCGUCCGUCUUAUUUAAAAAAUUUGAAAAUAUUUAGUCACACAUAAAGUACUAUUCAUGUUUUAUCAUCUAAUAGCAAUAAAAAUACUAAUCAUAAAAAAUUUUCAAAUAAGACGAAUGGUCAAACGUUAAACGUGAAUAGUGCAAAACAGCACUUAUU
This 197-nucleotide microRNA precursor is filed under the name Oryza sativa Japonica Group (Japanese rice). RNAcentral's name for it is "MIR812 microRNA precursor family". It matches the Rfam family "MIR812 microRNA precursor family". Lineage: Eukaryota; Viridiplantae; Streptophyta; Magnoliopsida; Poales; Poaceae. The record is from Rfam by way of RNAcentral.